AAAGUUUGGUCUAGAUCCGCCA
Molecule: non-coding RNA, 22 nt
Filed under: Arabidopsis thaliana (thale cress)
Lineage: Eukaryota; Viridiplantae; Streptophyta; Magnoliopsida; Brassicales; Brassicaceae
Source: RNAcentral